RNAcentral lists this ribosomal RNA (253 nucleotides) under uncultured bacterium. Its description in RNAcentral is "partial 16S ribosomal RNA". It matches the Rfam family "Bacterial small subunit ribosomal RNA", at positions 524 to 776 of the family's 1533-position model. The record is from RNAcentral.
UACGUAGGGGGCAAGCGUUGUCCGGAAUCAUUGGGCGUAAAGAGCGUGUAGGCGGCCAGAUAAGUCCGCUGUGAAAUCUCGAGGCUCAACUUCGAGCUGUCGGUGGAAACUGUCUGGCUAGAGUCCGGAAGAGGAGAACGGAAUUCCUGGUGUAGCGGUGAAAUGCGCAGAUAUCAGGAGGAACACCGGUGGCGAAGGCGGUUCUCUGGGCCUGUACUGACGCUGAGGAACGAAAGCGUGGGGAGCGAACAGG